Molecule: long non-coding RNA, 507 nt
Organism: Gordionus sp. m RMFG-2023
Lineage: Eukaryota; Metazoa; Nematomorpha; Gordioida; Chordodea; Parachordodidae
Exons: 3
Source: RefSeq, a predicted model, not a curated record
AAAAAUAAAUUAAAUAUAAAUAGCAUCACUUUUCCUGGUUUCUUUAAACACUUAUUAUAAAAUUAAAAAAUAAAAUAUUUUUUUAAAGCUAUAUAAAAGAAACAAAAUAUAACAUGAAUGCUAUAUGUUUUAUCUACCUUACAAAAUAUUUAAUCAUUUUUUCUAUACUACAAUCAUUGUAUAUGGAUAGAUGUGUGGCCCAAGUAAAUUUUUCUUCCAAUUGGGGUCUCAAGAGAAGCGACGAGAAUGAUAAUAAUUGGUUGGAUCUGUUAAGGAAUGAGUACCAAGAUAUAAAUUUUGGAAAGUACAAAAAGGCUACUAUGCGCAAUCCAAUUUUAUUCCGCGGAAGGCGUUAUUACGAAAACGAAUGAUGAUGCUUCAGCUUUAUUAUAGUUGUUUGUAUAAAUAUUUCAUUUAUAGAAUAAGUUUUUAUAAAACAUAUAGGUAUUUUUUUGUAUAUCAAAAUGACCUUAUAACUUCUAUACUUUAUUUAUACUAUGAUUGUAA